UUAUAUAACAAAUAUUAUACAUUUAUUCCUUUCAGGUCAUCGAGGCAGCCUAUAAUCUCAAAAUUUUGCCUCAUAUUUGUAUUCAUUGAUUCCUUUCAGGUCAUCGAAGCAUCCAAUCCAUCCUUUAUAUUAUGGAAUAAUCAAAUUCAUCCAUAUCGAUAUUGCAUCAAAGGCAUCAGACAACUUUUACAUUAUGAGUAAAGUGUUCAUAAUGUUUUUUUAGGGUCAAUGGGGCUUCCAAAUACCAGCAACAGUUUAUAUAACAAAUAUUAUUCAUCUAUUCCUUUCGGGUCAUCAAGUCAGCCUAUAGUCUCAAAAUUUUGUAUUCAUUGAUUCCUUUAUCCAUCCUUUAUAUUAUGAAUGAAUCAAAUUCAAUUCAUAUCGAUAUCGCAUCAAAGGCAUCAGACAACUUUACAUUCAUAAAUGCAUUCAAGUCAUAAAAGAUCAAUAGAUACCAAACUUUGGGUUAUAUCAUCCUUUUUUUCAAAUUGCAAACAGAGAUUUCAAAUCACAUGGACAAUUCACAGUAAAGAAUUCCAUGAUAUUUCUAUGAUAUUCCAUGAAUUUCAUUUUAUAUGUUUCACAACAGAAGAAGAUUGAAGCAUCUUGAAUCAAGAAUGAAAAAAUCGGUAGCCAACAACAGAAGAUUGAAACAUGUAGUAACUAUAAAUCGAAGGGGCAAAUCUUUUGUAACGAAAUUCCAAUUACAAAUAAAAGAUCUCGAAAUUAAUUGUAUUACCUGAGAAGAUGAAUAAAUUGCUUUUGGAAACUCAGCGAACCCUAUCUUGAAGAAAACAAGAUUCGGUCAACGAAACAAACCGAACACUUAAACGCUGCAAUUUUCGAAGAGGAACGCAAAUUUGUGACAGUGCAAGAAUUUGAAGAGAGAUGAUCAAGAGACACGAGAUUUAGGGUUUAGAGAUGAUUGUGAGAAGAGAACCAUCGUAACUCUCUAAUCGCG
RNAcentral lists this long non-coding RNA (961 nucleotides) under Trifolium pratense (red clover). RNAcentral's name for it is "long non-coding RNA (TPRA_LNC004224)". Lineage: Eukaryota; Viridiplantae; Streptophyta; Magnoliopsida; Fabales; Fabaceae. The record is from RNAcentral.